This 202-nucleotide unclassified non-coding RNA is filed under the name soil metagenome. RNAcentral's name for it is "partial internal transcribed spacer 1". The record is from RNAcentral.
CCGAGCGUCCCGGCCCCCUAGGGCUGCGGCCUCACCAUCCUUUGCUUAAACUCUCCUUGCGGGGCCCCUCCAGAGGGCCCUUGGACUCGGCCGCUGGGGCAGACCCCCUCCGGGAAACAGGGGGCGCCCCGCUCUCCGCUCCGGCAGCCGGGCCCGAACCCAAACCUUGAAACGUGUCUUUUCGGCCCAGCCGAACCAAACA